Molecule: long non-coding RNA, 363 nt
Filed under: Nicotiana benthamiana
Lineage: Eukaryota; Viridiplantae; Streptophyta; Magnoliopsida; Solanales; Solanaceae
Description: long non-coding RNA (NBEN_LNC022792)
Source: RNAcentral
UCCAAAAAUGGUGGUACAAAGUUGUCAGAUAUGAUCACAGGAACACAUUCGUAGGAAAUAGCUUCCACGACUCGUGGACUGUUGACUUCAUAACCUCUUGCACAAAUGCAGUAUCUACUGCUCUUCAUGUGCUGGAUAUAGUCGGUCUUGUGCAUCCGCCCAAAGAUUUUCAUGUUUGGAUCUUUGUUUUGCCAGUACUUUAAAAGAAUAGGACGGACGUACCCAUGCAUACGUAGUCAGUCUUGCGCAUCUUCCCAAAGAUUUUCAUGUUUGGAUCUUUGUUUGCCAGUACUUUAAAAGAAUAGGACGGACGUACCCAUGCAUACUGUCUGCGAAGAAAGCAAGGAAUUCUCGUUGACUAGG